CCUACGGGAGGCAGCAGUGAGGAAUAUUGGUCAAUGGCCGGAAGGCUGAACCAGCCAAGCCGCGUGAAGGACGAAUGUGCCAAGCAUUGUAAACUUCUUUUGUCAAGGGACAAAAUCAGGCUCGAGAGCCUGACCGUGGGUACUUGAAGAAAAAGCAUCGGCUAACUCCGUGCCAGCAGCCGCGGUAAUACGGAGGAUCCGAGCGUUAUCCGGAUUUAUUGGGUUUAAAGGGUGCGUAGGGGGGCUGUUAAGUCAGUGGUAAAAGCCCGGGGCUCAACCCCGGAGAGCAGUUGAUACUGGCUGUCUUGAGUUGUCGAGAGGUAUGCGGAAUGCGCGGUGUAGCGGUGAAAUGCUUAGAUAUUGCGAAGAACUCCGAUUGCGAAGGCAGCAUACCGGCGUGGAACUGACGUUGAGGCACGAAAGUGUGGGUAUCGAACAGGAUUAGAUACCCUAGUAGUC
RNAcentral lists this ribosomal RNA (459 nucleotides) under uncultured bacterium. RNAcentral's name for it is "partial 16S ribosomal RNA". It matches the Rfam family "Bacterial small subunit ribosomal RNA", at positions 338 to 795 of the family's 1533-position model. The record is from RNAcentral.